Unclassified non-coding RNA from Microcebus murinus (gray mouse lemur), 102 nucleotides. It matches the Rfam family "Y RNA". Rfam says of the family: Y RNAs are components of the Ro ribonucleoprotein particle (Ro RNP), in association with Ro60 and La proteins. The record is from Ensembl. NCBI's taxonomy places the organism in Eukaryota, Metazoa, Chordata, Mammalia, Primates, Cheirogaleidae.
GGCUGGUCCUAGUGCAGUGGUGUUCACACCUAAUUGAUCACAACCACUUAUAGAUUUCUCUGUUCCUUCUCUAUUCCUACUGCUUCACUUGACUAGCCUUAA